AAUUCUGUUUAAUCAUUUUUUUAUCCAGUUGCCUCUGAUUUGUGGAACAUACUAUUUUACAGAGUUUUUCAAUAUUCCUUAUGAUUGGGAAAGAAUGCCAAGAUGGUAUGUCAGUGAUCAUUUGACAUUCAUAUUCAUUCAUGGCUUAUGCUUUAAUUACAUUUUGCUUAAUGUUUAUCCUCUCCAUUUGGGUAAUACCCUGAAAUUUAUUAUGUCCUGAUAUAACUGAAUAUACAUGUACCAGAACCUAGGAGCGCUGUUUGGAAUGAAUCUUUUAAACAGGAUGUGGUAGCACACACCUGUGGUCCCCUCACUCGGGAGGUGAAUGAAGGUGGGUAGACCUGAAGCUGCAGACUCCUCCUGGGCUACACAGCUCGUCCAUAGCCUGCCUCAGAUAUAAUGAGGUCUUGUCUC
This 414-nucleotide long non-coding RNA is filed under the name Rattus norvegicus (Norway rat). Its description in RNAcentral is "long non-coding RNA NONRATT011461". Lineage: Eukaryota; Metazoa; Chordata; Mammalia; Rodentia; Muridae. The record is from RNAcentral.